This 1285-nucleotide ribosomal RNA is filed under the name Chroogomphus rutilus. RNAcentral's name for it is "SSU rRNA". The stretch from base 402 to 1285 matches the Rfam family "Eukaryotic small subunit ribosomal RNA". Lineage: Eukaryota; Fungi; Basidiomycota; Agaricomycetes; Boletales; Gomphidiaceae. The record is from RNAcentral.
CCAACAGCAGCCACCCUAAGGUGGGGUGAAACUCGACCGGAGCAAGGAAAAGGAAGUUCCAACAGCAGCCACCCUAAGGUAGGGUGAAACUCGACCGGGCAAGGAAACUAAGUCCCAACAGCAGCCAUCCUAAGGUGGGAUGAAACUCGACCGGGCAAGAAAAUAGAAAACCUAGGUCAACUGGCCAAAAGUCCCAAACCGCAAAAGCCCCUAGGGAAAAGCAACCGGGCAACCGAGAUGGAGCAAUCUGCCUCUCAUCUCUGCCUAAAAAGCCAUAUGGGGUCUAACCCAUCUGAAAUAACCUGGCUAAUCACCCCUGCGUGUAUUGGUGCAGGGCAGCAACCUAGCCUCCCCCAGGAGGUAUUAGGAAGGAGGGGUUUAGUGGGUCGAGUAUAGCACUCAACCCCACACUACCUAAAGCCGUAAAUAAAUGGCUUAGGUGUCUGGCCACAGAUUCCCCCCCCUUGGCAAAANNNNNNNNNNNNNNNNAAAAAAAACGAUCAGAUACCGUUGUAGUCUUAACAGUAAACUAUGCCGACUAGGGAUCGGGUGACCUCAAUUUGAUGUGUCACUUGGCACCUUACGAGAAAUCAAAGUCUUUGGGUUCGGGAGGGAGUACUGAAACUUAAAGGAAUUGAUGGAAGGGCACCACCAGGAGUAGAGCCUGUGGCUUAAUUUGACUCAACACAGGGAAACUCACCAGGUCCAGACAUAACUAGGAUUGACAGAUUGAUAGCUCUUUCUUGAUUUUAUGGGUGGUGGUGCAUGGCUGUUCUUAGUUGGUGGAGUGAUUUGUCUGGUUAAUUCCAAUAACGAACGAGACCUUCCCAUGCUAAAUAGCCCGGCCGGCUUUGGCUGGUCGCCGGCUUCUUAGAUGGACUAUCAGUGUUUAGCUGAUGGAAGUUGGAGGCAAUAACAGGUCGGUGAUGCCCUUAGAUGUUCUGGGCCGCACACGCGCUACACUAACAGGGCCAGCGAGUUUAUCACCUUGGCCGGAAGGUCUGGGUAAUCUUGUGAAAACCUGUCAUGAUGGGGAUAGAGCAUUGCAAUUAUUGCUCUUCAACGAGGAAUUCCUAGUAGGUGUGAGUCAUCAGCUCACGUCAAUUACAUCCCUGCCCUUUGUACACACCGCCUGUUGCUACUACCGAUUGAAUGGCUUAGUGAGGUCUUCGGAUUGGCUUCGGGGAGCCGGCAAUGGCAUUCUGUUACCGAGAAGUUGAUCAAACUUGGUCAUUUAGAGGAAGUAAAAGUCAUAACAAGGUUUCCGUAGGUGAACCUGUGGAAG